CACGGAGUUAGCCGAUGCUUAUUCGUAAGGUACCGUCAUCAAAGUACACGUACCCCUUAUUCUUCCCUUACAAAAGCAGUUUACAAUCCAUAGGACCUUCAUCCUGCACGCGGCAUGGCUGGAUCAGUCUUCCGACCAUUGUCCAAUAUUCCUCACUGCUGCCUCCCGUAGGAGUCUGGUCCGUAUCUCAGUACCAGUGUGGGGGACAUCCCUCUCAGAACCCCUAUCUAUCGUCGCCUUGGGGAGCCGUUACCUCUCCAACUAGCUAAUAGAACGCAUACUCAUCUUUCACCACCGUAGCUUUAAUAUAAAAACGAUGCCGCUCUUAUAUACCAUUAGGUAUUAAUCCAAAUUUCUUCGGGCUAUCCCUAUGUGAAAGGCAGAUUGUAUACGCGUUACGCACCCGUGCGCCGGUUUCAGUUACCCGAAGGUAACCUCUCCCUCGACUUGCAUGUGUUAGGCCUGCCGCUAGCGUUCAUCCUGAGCCAGGAUCAAACUCU
Molecule: ribosomal RNA, 500 nt
Filed under: uncultured Capnocytophaga sp.
Lineage: Bacteria; Pseudomonadati; Bacteroidota; Flavobacteriia; Flavobacteriales; Flavobacteriaceae
Description: partial 16S ribosomal RNA
Source: RNAcentral